RNAcentral lists this ribosomal RNA (495 nucleotides) under uncultured bacterium. Its description in RNAcentral is "partial 16S ribosomal RNA". It matches the Rfam family "Bacterial small subunit ribosomal RNA", at positions 28 to 507 of the family's 1533-position model. The record is from RNAcentral.
GACGAACGCUGGCGGCGUGCCUAAUACAUGCAAGUAGAACGCUGAAGGAGGAGCUUGCUUCUCUGGAUGAGUUGCGAACGGGUGAGUAACGCGUAGGUAACCUGCCUGGUAGCGGGGGAUAACUAUUGGAAACGAUAGCUAAUACCGCAUAAUAGUAGAUGUUGCAUGACAUUUGCUUAAAAGGUGCAAUUGCAUCACUACCAGAUGGACCUGCGUUGUAUUAGCUAGUUGGUGGGGUAACGGCUCACCAAGGCGACGAUACAUAGCCGACCUGAGAGGGUGAUCGGCCACACUGGGACUGAGACACGGCCCAGACUCCUACGGGAGGCAGCAGUAGGGAAUCUUCGGCAAUGGACGGAAGUCUGACCGAGCAACGCCGCGUGAGUGAAGAAGGGUUUCGGAUCGUAAAGCUCUGUUGUAAGAGAAGAACGAGUGUGAGAGUGGAAAGUUCACAAUGUGACGGUAUCUUACCAGAAAGGGACGGCUAACUACGUG